AUUCCAGCUCCAAUAGCGUAUAUGUAAGUUGCUGCAGUUAAAAAGCUCGUAGUUGGAUUUCGGGUGGGAAUGGCCGGUCCGCCGUUUCGGUGUGCACUUGCUACGCCCACCUUGCUGCCGGGGACGUGCUCUUGAGUUUGCGCUCGGGACACGGAGUCGGCGAGGUUACUUUGAGUAAAUUAGAGUGUUCAAAGCAGGCCUACGCUCUGAAUACAUUAGCAUGGAAUAACACGAUAGGACUCUGGCCUAUCUUGUUGGUCUGUAGGACCGGAGUAAUGAUUAAGAGGGACAGUCGGGGGCAUUCGUAUUUCAUUGUCAGAGGUGAAAUUCCUGGAUUUAUGAAAGACGAACUACUGCGAAAGCAUUUGCCAAGGAUGUUUUCAUCA
This 386-nucleotide ribosomal RNA is filed under the name Picochlorum sp. RNAcentral describes it as "partial small subunit ribosomal RNA". It matches the Rfam family "Eukaryotic small subunit ribosomal RNA", at positions 582 to 975 of the family's 1831-position model. The record is from RNAcentral. Lineage: Eukaryota; Viridiplantae; Chlorophyta; Trebouxiophyceae.